This 527-nucleotide unclassified non-coding RNA is filed under the name Hevea brasiliensis (rubber tree). The record is from RNAcentral. Lineage: Eukaryota; Viridiplantae; Streptophyta; Magnoliopsida; Malpighiales; Euphorbiaceae.
AAAAAACAAAAAACUAAAAAAAUGACCAUCAAAUUAUUUUCUGUUUUCUCCUUGACUCUUUCAAUUAUCUUAAUUUCUUCAUUUUUCUUCUAUUUCUCCGCCGCGUUGGGUGGCGUACCUGGUGGUUGGACCCCCUUAAAUGACGUAAAUACCCCUGAUGUGGUUGCGAUAGGACAAUUUGCAAUAAAUGAACACAACAAAGAGGCAGGGACAAAAUUGGAAUUUCAAAGUAUUACUAAAGGAGAAAGUCAAGUUGUUGCCGGAACAAAUUAUCGACUUGUAAUUAAUGCUAAAGAUGGAGGCUAUAUUCGUAAAUAUUUGGUGGUUGUAUGGGAUACACCAUGGGAGAAAAUUAAGAAACUUACUUCCUUCAAAAAAAUGUAAGUGUUAAAAAGCUUAUGGUUUAUGAUCUCGAGUUAGUGAAUUUAGAAUAAACGCGAUGUUAUAAUAUAUAUUUAUGAUAUGUUUUAAUGUUUUUGUAUGUGUAUGUAUCGUUUGAGAUAUGAAUUUGAUUGUAAAUUGAGAAA